Molecule: ribosomal RNA, 468 nt
Filed under: uncultured bacterium
Lineage: Bacteria
Description: partial 16S ribosomal RNA
Rfam family: Bacterial small subunit ribosomal RNA
Source: RNAcentral
GACGAACGCUGGUGGCGUGCUUAACACAUGCAAGUCGAACGGUGAUGCUCCAGCUUGCUGGAGUGGAUCAGUGGCGAACGGGUGAGUAACACGUGAGCAACCUGCCCCAGACUCUGGAAUAAGCGCUGGAAACGGCGUCUAAUACUGGAUACGAAACUGGCCCGCAUGGGCAUGGUUUGGAAAGUUUUUCGGUUUGGGAUGGGCUCGCGGCCUAUCAGCUUGUUGGUGAGGUAAUGGCUCACCAAGGCGACGACGGGUAGCCGGCCUGAGAGGGCGACCGGCCACACUGGGACUGAGACACGGCCCAGACUCCUACGGGAGGCAGCAGUGGGGAAUAUUGCACAAUGGGCGAAAGCCUGAUGCAGCGACGCCGCGUGAGGGAUGACGGCCUUCGGGUUGUAAACCUCUUUCAGCAGGGAAGAAGCGAAAGUGACGGUACCUGCAGAAGAAGCACCGGCUAACUACGUG